RNAcentral lists this transfer RNA (67 nucleotides) under Brachionichthys hirsutus. RNAcentral describes it as "tRNA-Tyr". It matches the Rfam family "tRNA". Rfam says of the family: Transfer RNA (tRNA) molecules are approximately 80 nucleotides in length. Their secondary structure includes four short double-helical elements and three loops (D, anti-codon, and T loops). Lineage: Eukaryota; Metazoa; Chordata; Actinopteri; Lophiiformes; Brachionichthyidae. The record is from RNAcentral.
GGUAAGAUGGCCGAGGUAGGCGGUGGAUUGUAGCUCCACACACAGAGGUUGACUCCUCUUCUUAUCA